RNAcentral lists this unclassified non-coding RNA (329 nucleotides) under plant metagenome. Its description in RNAcentral is "partial contains 5.8S ribosomal RNA, internal transcribed spacer 2, and large subunit ribosomal RNA". The stretch from base 1 to 105 matches the Rfam family "5.8S ribosomal RNA", at positions 50 to 154 of the family's 154-position model. The record is from RNAcentral.
GAAAUGCGAUAAGUAAUGUGAAUUGCAGAAUUCAGUGAAUCAUCGAAUCUUUGAACGCACAUUGCGCCCGUCAGCAUUCUGGUGGGCAUGCCUGUUCGAGCGUCAUUUCAACCCUCAGGACCCCCCUUUCGCGGGGAGGGACCUGGCGUUGGGGAUCGGCCCGCCCCCCGUGGCGGCGCCGUCCCCGAAAUCUAGUGGCGGUCUCGCUGCAGCCUCCCCUGCGUAGUAGUUACAACCUCGCAUCGGAGCGCGGCGCGGCCACGCCGUAAAACCCCCGACUUUCUGAACGUUGACCUCGGAUCAGGUAGGAAUACCCGCUGAACUUAAGC